Molecule: unclassified non-coding RNA, 362 nt
Filed under: Hevea brasiliensis (rubber tree)
Lineage: Eukaryota; Viridiplantae; Streptophyta; Magnoliopsida; Malpighiales; Euphorbiaceae
Source: RNAcentral
UAUGCAGGUUAAAUUAGAACAAAAAUUUCACAACUUGUUCAAAAAAUUUUCAUGGAGAGACUGGAGAAAGCAUUGAGGCCUUAAGAACUAUAUGAAUACAGAUAAAGAAAAGCAUCACUAACACCUGGAGUUUGGUGGCUCACAAUGAUAUGGAGAAAAUGUAUGAAACAUCUCAUCUUUCAAAGGUUGAAUUUGUGCUAAAAAGCAUCUUUGUAAUGAUUGCUUCUGUCAUCUAGGGCCUGAGAGUCCAGUAUCUGAGAGAAAUGCAUCACUUGUGUCAUCAACAAAGCCCGAAGAGGAACAUUCUUUGCCGUUCCAUUUGAUGACACUUGACAUAGAGCGAGAAGCUGAUUGAGAAGAAA